CUUGGUCAUUUAGAGGAAGUAAAAGUCGUAACAAGGUUUCCGUAGGUGAACCUGCGGAAGGAUCAUUAUUGAAUUUUGAAUGGGGUUGUAGCUGGCCUUUCAAAGGGCAUGUGCACGCCUCGCUUCAAUCCACUUACCCCUGUGAACACUCUGUAGGUCGGCUCAAGGGACAAAUUCUUAACGGGGUUUGUUUUGGGCCUUCCUAUGUUUUAUUACAAACGUUUAAAGUCUAAAGAAUGUACUCGCGUCUAACGCAUUAUAUACAACUUUCAGCAACGGAUCUCUUGGCUCUCGCAUCGAUGAAGAACGCAGCGAAAUGCGAUAAGUAAUGUGAAUUGCAGAAUUCAGUGAAUCAUCGAAUCUUUGAACGCACCUUGCGCUCCUUGGUAUUCCGAGGAGCAUGCCUGUUUGAGUGUCAUGGAAUUAUCAACUUGUUUAUCUUUGUAUGAACGCAGUUGGAUUUGGAGGCCAUUGCCGGAUUGUAAUGACUCGGCUCCUCUUGAAUGCAUUAGCUCGAACCUUUGCGGAUCAGCUUUUGGUGUGAUAAUUGUCUACGCCGCUAACUGAGACACAUGAAUGGGAUCGGCUUACAGUCGUCCUUGAACGGACAAUUUAUUAUGACUUCUGACCUCAAAUCAGGUAGGAUUACCCGCUGAACUUAAGCAUAUCAAUAAGCGGAGGA
RNAcentral lists this ribosomal RNA (682 nucleotides) under Antrodia heteromorpha. RNAcentral describes it as "eukaryotic LSU rRNA". The stretch from base 265 to 418 matches the Rfam family "5.8S ribosomal RNA". The record is from RNAcentral. Lineage: Eukaryota; Fungi; Basidiomycota; Agaricomycetes; Polyporales; Fomitopsidaceae.